RNAcentral lists this ribosomal RNA (383 nucleotides) under uncultured bacterium. RNAcentral describes it as "bacterial SSU rRNA". It matches the Rfam family "Bacterial small subunit ribosomal RNA", at positions 30 to 416 of the family's 1533-position model. The record is from RNAcentral.
AUUGAACGCUGGCGGCAUGCCUUACACAUGCAAGUCGAACGGCAGCGGGCCUUCGGGUGCCGGCGAGUGGCGAACGGGUGAGUAAUGCAUCGGAACGUGCCAUUGAGUGGGGGAUAACGUAGCGAAAGUUACGCUAAUACCGCAUAUUCUGUGAGCAGGAAAGCAGGGGACCGCAAGGCCUUGCGCUCUUCGAGCGGCCGAUGUCAGAUUAGCUAGUUGGUGAGGUAAAGGCUUACCAAGGCGACGAUCUGUAGCGGGUCUGAGAGGAUGAUCCGCCACACUGGAACUGAGACACGGUCCAGACUCCUGCGGAGGCAGCAGUGGGGAAUUUUGGACAAUGGGCGCAAGCCUGAUCCAGCCAUGCCGCGUGAGUGAAGAAGGCC